Pangasianodon gigas (Mekong giant catfish) is the source of this 72-nucleotide non-coding RNA. NCBI's taxonomy places the organism in Eukaryota, Metazoa, Chordata, Actinopteri, Siluriformes, Pangasiidae. The record is from the annotation of a GenBank genome assembly.
CAAAUAAUUUCAAUCUAGUUAAAACAAAGAUAAAUAAAAUGGUAUUAUCAGCCUGUUGACUAUUUUAUUUAU